This 729-nucleotide ribosomal RNA is filed under the name bacterium IMCC8461. RNAcentral's name for it is "bacterial SSU rRNA". It matches the Rfam family "Bacterial small subunit ribosomal RNA", at positions 28 to 750 of the family's 1533-position model. The record is from RNAcentral. RNAcentral also lists the same sequence under 6 other names.
GAUGAACGCUAGCGGCAGGCCUAACACAUGCAAGUCGAGGGGUAACAGGGAUUGCUUGCAAUCCGCUGACGACCGGCGCACGGGUGCGUAACGCGUAUGCAACCUACCUUUUACAGGGGUAUAGUCAAGAGAAAUUUUGAAUAACACCCCAUACGAUCAUUUUUACACCUGUAAAGAUGAAGAAAACUCCGGUGGUAAAAGAUGGGCAUGCGUCCUAUUAGUUAGUUGGUGAGGUAACGGCUCACCAAGACCGCGAUAGGUAGGGGUCCUGAGAGGGAGAUCCCCCACACUGGUACUGAGACACGGACCAGACUCCUACGGGAGGCAGCAGUGAGGAAUAUUGGACAAUGGAGGCAACUCUGAUCCAGCCAUGCCGCGUGCAGGAAGACUGCCCUAUGGGUUGUAAACUGCUUUUAUACAGGAAGAAACCUUGGUACGUGUACCAAGCUGACGGUACUGUAAGAAUAAGGAUCGGCUAACUCCGUGCCAGCAGCCGCGGUAAUACGGAGGAUCCAAGCGUUAUCCGGAAUCAUUGGGUUUAAAGGGUCCGCAGGCGGUCUUUUAAGUCAGAGGUGAAAUCCUAUCGCUCAACGAUAGAACUGCCUUUGAUACUGAAAGACUUGAGUUAUUGUGAAGUGGUUAGAAUAUGUAGUGUAGCGGUGAAAUGCAUAGAUAUUACAUAGAAUACCGAUUGCGAAGGCAGAUCACUAACAAUACACUGACGCUGAG